RNAcentral lists this microRNA precursor (93 nucleotides) under Otolemur garnettii (small-eared galago). RNAcentral describes it as "miRNA (ENSOGAG00000017277.1)". Lineage: Eukaryota; Metazoa; Chordata; Mammalia; Primates; Galagidae. The record is from RNAcentral.
AGUGCCUGGCAUAUAGUAGGUGCUCAGUAAGUGUGUGUUGGAUAAUUUUUAAUAGUAAUAGUUUACUAUGGGCCAGCCAGUGUUCUGAGCACU